Molecule: ribosomal RNA, 323 nt
Filed under: uncultured bacterium
Lineage: Bacteria
Description: bacterial SSU rRNA
Rfam family: Bacterial small subunit ribosomal RNA
Source: RNAcentral
ACUCCUACGGGAGGCAGCAGUGGGGAAUAUUGCACGAAUGGGGAAGCCCAUCGAUGCAGCCAUGCCGCGUGUGUGAAGAAGGCCUUCGGGUUGUAAAGCACUUUCAGUAGGGAGGAAGGUAGUGUAGUUAACACCUGCAUUAUUUGACGUUACCUACAGAAGAAGCACCGGCUAACUCCGUGCCAGCAGCCGCGGUAAUAGCGGAGGGUGCGAGCGUUAAUCGGAAUUACUGGGCGUAAAGCGCAUGCAGGCGGCCUGUUAAGUCAGAUGUGAAAGCCCGGGCUUAACCUCGGAAUUGCAUUUGAAACUGGCAGGCUAGAGUC